GGUUUAGAACAGCAGGUGACUUGUUAGCAGACCCAAGAUGCUUCUGGAAGCAAAGCAGUGGUUCUGCAUGAUUCAUCAUACCUUUUGGAUCACCUUGUUUGUCCAUCAAGCUUCUGUGCUGGACUGCACCGUGAGGGUAUUGCGUGUGUCCACCUUUCUGCCAUGAGCCUCCCGCCUUACAUUCAUCCCAGAGAGCCUGACCAUGGAUAACGGGAUCAGCAACCUCUGAGGAGCCUGAGCCAGUGGACACAGAAAGUCUUCAGGCCUCCAUCACCUUCCAGCUUGUGCUGUAGGACACUCACCUGGCCUGAGUCCUCCACUUCCCCAGUUCAGCUUCCUCUAACAAGAGUAUCUGUCUGGAGCAGAGCCCGGGCCUGUGAGCUGCACCCAUUUCUUGGAGCAAUGCAGUCACUCGAUGCAAGUUUGCACUCAGAGAUCUGCUGUGAAGAAUUAAGCAGGAUUUUUUUUUUUCCCCACAGACAUUUCAUGUCAUCCCUGGGAAUUCUCCCUGAUCUCUCUGGAUAAUUCUGCACCAGACAGAUCCAGAGGGCCCCCGAAUCCAGA
Molecule: long non-coding RNA, 564 nt
Organism: Lepidothrix coronata (blue-crowned manakin)
Lineage: Eukaryota; Metazoa; Chordata; Aves; Passeriformes; Pipridae
Exons: 4
Source: RefSeq, a predicted model, not a curated record